GUUUCUCACCUUCUAAAGAACCGUAAUGCCAUUAAUUUGGUGUCACGGGGAAUUAGGACUGUUACCUUGAAAAAAUUAGAGUGUUUAAAGCAGGCUCACGCUUGAAUACAUUAGCAU
RNAcentral lists this ribosomal RNA (117 nucleotides) under Funneliformis caledonium. Its description in RNAcentral is "partial 18S ribosomal RNA". Lineage: Eukaryota; Fungi; Glomeromycota; Glomeromycetes; Glomerales; Glomeraceae. The record is from RNAcentral.